This 1195-nucleotide small RNA is filed under the name Pleosporales sp. 12 MU-2012. RNAcentral's name for it is "eukaryotic LSU rRNA". The stretch from base 412 to 1195 matches the Rfam family "Eukaryotic large subunit ribosomal RNA", at positions 1 to 804 of the family's 3401-position model. The record is from RNAcentral. Lineage: Eukaryota; Fungi; Ascomycota; Dothideomycetes; Pleosporales.
UACCAGCAGGCCCCUCUAAUUGAACCCUUGUCUAUUGCGUACCUAUUUUUCCUCGGUGGGCUUGCCCGCCGAAUGGACAAACCUACAACCUUUUUAAUUGUUAAAUCAGCGUCUGAAACAAACUUAAUAAUUACAACUUUCAACAACGGAUCUCUUGGUUCUGGCAUCGAUGAAGAACGCAGCGAAAUGCGAUAAGUAGUGUGAAUUGCAGAAUUCAGUGAAUCAUCGAAUCUUUGAACGCACAUUGCGCCCCUUGGUAUUCCAUGGGGCAUGCCUGUUCGAGCGUCAUUUGUACCCUCAAGCUACCCAUUUAUUGUCAGAGGUUAAAAUCCUUGGAUUUAUUUUAUUGAACAGCUUGGUGUUGGGUGUUUGUCCACUCCCGCGUGUUUGGACUCGCCUUAAAACAAUUGGCAGCCAGUGUUUUGGUAUGGAAGCGCAGCACAAUUUGCGAAUCUAGCCCCUGAAUACUAGCAACCAUCAAGCCCAUUUUUAACGCCGGCGAGUGAAGCGGCAACAGCUCAAAUUUGAAAUCUGGCUCUUUUAGGGUCCGAGUUGUAAUUUGCAGAGGGCGCUUUGGCGUUGGCAGCGGUCCAAGUUCUUUGGAACAGGACGUCACAGAGGGUGAGAAUCCCGUACGUGGUCGCUAGCCCUCGCCGUGUAAAGCCCCUUCGACGAGUCGAGUUGUUUGGGAAUGCAGCUCUAAAUGGGAGGUAAAUUUCUUCUAAAGCUAAAUACCGGCCAGAGACCGAUAGCGCACAAGUAGAGUGAUCGAAAGAUGAAAAGCACUUUGGAAAGAGAGUCAAAUAGCACGUGAAAUUGUUGAAAGGGAAGCGCUUGCAGCCAGACUUGCCUGUAGUUGCUUAUCCGGACUCUUGUCCGGUGCACUCUUCUGCAGGCAGGCCAGCAUCAGUUUGGGCGGUUGGAUAAAGGUCUCUGUCACGUACCUCCCUUCGGGGUAGGCCUUAUAGGGGAGACGUCAUGCAACCAGCCUGGACUGAGGUCCGCGCAUCUGCUAGGAUGCUGGCGUAAUGGCUGUAAGCGGCCCGUCUUGAAACACGGACCAAGGAGUCUAACAUCUAUGCGAGUGUUUGGGUGUCAAGCCCAGACGCGUAAUGAAAGUGAACGGAGGUGGGAACCUUUUAGGUGCACCAUCGACCGAUCCUGAUGUCUUCGGAUGGAUUUGAGUAAGAGCAUG